AACGAACGCUGGCGGCAGGCUUAACACAUGCAAGUCGAACGCACCUUUCGUAGUGGGUUGCAGACGGGUGAGUAACGCGUGGGACUCUACCCUUCUCUACGGGAUAGCUCCUUGAAACUGGAAUUAAUACCGUAUACGUCCUGCUGGUGAAAGAUUUGUCGUGGGAGGAUGAGCCCGCGUUGGAUUCGCUAUUUGGUGUGGUAAAGGCCUACCAAGGCGACGAUCCAUAGCGGGGCUAAGAGGCUGAUCCGCCACACUGGGACUGAGACACGGUCCAAACUCUUACGGGAGGCAGCCGUGGGGAAUCUUGGACAACGGGCGCAAGCAUGAUGCAGUCCUGCCGCGUGAGUGAUGAAGGUGCUAGGGUUGUACAGCUCUUUCAGAGGCGACGAUACUGACGGUACCCAAAGAAGAAGCCCCGGCUAACUUCGUG
Molecule: ribosomal RNA, 433 nt
Filed under: uncultured bacterium
Lineage: Bacteria
Description: partial 16S ribosomal RNA
Rfam family: Bacterial small subunit ribosomal RNA
Source: RNAcentral